Scylla paramamosain (green mud crab) is the source of this 1168-nucleotide long non-coding RNA. RefSeq lists it as uncharacterized. The transcript has 3 exons. The record is from RefSeq and is a predicted model, not a curated record. NCBI's taxonomy places the organism in Eukaryota, Metazoa, Arthropoda, Malacostraca, Decapoda, Portunidae.
ACGUGGAGGCACAGGGCAGCGCCUCAAGCUUUGUGACGUCACGUGCUUGACUGUUUAUAAAGUAGUUCGUGUUGCUUUACGUCACUACUGGAAGUUGAACAUUGAAACGUCAUAUGUGUUGAUAAAUACUUAGUUAUUUAUGUGGUAUAGGAAGACCGGAAAGUAAAAAUCAGUAAAUGCUUUCUUGUGACUUCUGGCAACUUAGCAGGCGAGGCUGGGCCGGGAAGCGGAAGGAAGUUACGUGACUAGCAGGGGCUGUGGUAACCGUGUGAUGUGGAGGUUACGUGUGUUUUGCGUGUGUAGUGCAUGUGUGCGGGCCCAGUGUAACAUCAACGCUUCCAUCAUAUCGAUACGUGGUGGUGCUUUGUUACUGAUGGCCCCGGCAACACCACCCCCAACACACGCCAGAGGGCCCAGGCAGAGAGUAGAUCGUGGGCCUGCCUGCCUGUCCCUCUGCCUGCCUGCCUGUUUGCAUCCCACCUGCUAGCCUGCCUGUCUGUCUGUGCCUGCCUGCCUGCCUGCUCCAGAUCAAAGCUCCAUCAGUGUAUACAGAAUAAUGAAUAAUGUGGAUGUUACUGGUGCUCUAAAACGUUGAAUUGGUUUCGGGAGACGCAGUGGAGGCAGGACUGAACCAAACACGCCUACCCUCGCUGGCUGAGUGCACGAGGACCAGCCAGCUUAAACGCGCUCACUCUGGCACUGAUUUGAAUAUUCAUAAAGUAUGUUCUUUUUAUGCAUUAGUGGGGUGUUAAUGUGAUGUGUUAUGAGAAGCUGCCGGCCAGUUUGUCGCGUCGUACAGGCCUUCUUUGUUUGUUUGUCCUGCUUCAGGGUGGUGGUGGAGGGCAGCCUGGGGUCAGUUACGGGCCGGCCACAAGUCAAUGAAUAGGUCCUUUUUUUUACUUCUUCUUAUGUGUUUGACGUUUUCCUUCAGUGUCAAGUCCUCUGGUCUAAGAAUCUGCAAGUUGCUGAGUUUCGAAAGCAUUUGUCUUGAGAAUAGAGGACUCAACAGUGAAGAGAAGCGGUACGGUAAACAUAAUGGGAACGGUUCUGUUGUUACUCGAUUAUUGAAAGUCAAUAUAGCUGGUUAACAAUUUUUUCUGUAUAUGUUUUGCUGAAAUUAAUGGUAACCAAUGUUUCUUUAGGAAAAACGUUCUUAACGGAAGAUAUA